CGGUAAAUAAUUUUUGUAGCAUAAAAGCUAAAUAAGUUCAUACAUACUGUAAUACAGAUAACCAAAAUAUAAAAUUUAAUUUACAGUGACACGUGGGCCCAUGAACGACCAAAAGUAUCAAAAGCGGUAAACCUACAGUUUUUGAAGGUGCAAGUCCAACUGUAGCCUUCAACAAAGUGAGCUAUCUACCGACUAUCUUGAGCCUGAAAUGGGUGGAAAGGAGGGUGGUGAGAUUAUAUAAUCCCAGUGAGUAAACAAAUAUCAUCUAAAAUAUCUAAAGUUGAGUAAAUGGAGACAGAUAAAAUAGAUUAACAUAAAAAUGAUUCACAGCAUUUCGAACUCGUUUAAAUAAGAUAAAAUAGAUUCAUUUCACCCAAAUAAACAACGAGGCUUAUGAUUUCCUGAAAAGUUUGGUUCGUGCCAAAAUCAUUCUCAUACUCAGUUAUUAGGGAUUCUUUGGCCAAGGGCUAUCCCAACCGAGUCCGCCAAGGUUGUUAAAAGUCAUGUACGCAUAAAUCAUGUUUUUAUUUUGAAAACAUAGCCAUUCCUUGGCGUUGGUUGAGUUCACUCUCACGUGGUGGUUUGACGUGAAGUGAACUCUAAAGUUUUAACCUCAGGAGUUAUCCAACCGCGCCUCUCAUACUGAGGUAUGAAUAAAAUAGGGUUAUCGUGCCCCUCUAAUAAGCUGGUCCACGAAACCCGUCCACUGCAGUGACCAAUUUAUAAUCCAGCAAUUCAAUAAAAUUCAAUAGCAUGACAUGACAAUUAUUUUAUUUUACAGCCUCUCAAGGCAAAUCAACAAUUCAUACUUUUUCAGCACAUUUACCAAAUCCAACCAUUCAUGCCAAUAUUAUCAUAAGCCAUUCAAUUCAAACCAUGAUUUAUAACACAGCAAUUAGUCUCCAAUUACUCCAUUUUCAAAACCAUCAUUCAAUUUCAAGACAAUUUUAUAAAAUCAUUUCAUUUAAUCACAUUUAGCUUAUAAAACAUAAAAAUUUACCAUUUAAACUCAUUUUUCAUAAAAUCACAAAAACGAAUUAAAAUUCACUUCAGAUAAUCAAGAUGAUGAUAAGGUUACUCACUGUAUCAAGAGUUUGAAUUUUG
This 1104-nucleotide long non-coding RNA is filed under the name Theobroma cacao (cacao). RNAcentral's name for it is "long non-coding RNA (TCAC_LNC000299)". Lineage: Eukaryota; Viridiplantae; Streptophyta; Magnoliopsida; Malvales; Malvaceae. The record is from RNAcentral.